CCUACGGGAGGCAGCAGUGAGGAAUAUUGGUCAAUGGGCGGAAGCCUGAACCAGCCAAGUCGCGUGAGGGAAUAAGGCCCUACGGGUCGUAAACCUUUUUUGCCGGGGAGCAAGGGACGGGACGCGUCCCGGCCCGGGGAGUAGCCGGAGAAACAGCAUCGGCUAACUCCGUGCCAGCAGCCGCGGUAAUACGGAGGGUGCGAGCGUUAUCCGGAGUUAUUGGGUUUAAAGGGUGCGUAGGCGGGCUUUUAAGUCAGCGGUCAAAAUUCGGGGCUCAACCGCGUCCGGCCGUUGAAACUGGGGGCCUUGAGUGGGCGAGAGGAAGGCGGAAUGCGUGGUGUAGCGGUGAAAUGCAUAGAUAUCACGCAGAACCCCGAUUGCGAAGGCAGCCUUCCGGCGCCCUACUGACGCUGAGGCACGAAAGUGCGGGGAUCGAACAGGAUUAGAAACCCGAGUAGUC
This 460-nucleotide ribosomal RNA is filed under the name uncultured bacterium. Its description in RNAcentral is "partial 16S ribosomal RNA". It matches the Rfam family "Bacterial small subunit ribosomal RNA", at positions 338 to 795 of the family's 1533-position model. The record is from RNAcentral.